ACGGCGAGUGAAGCGGGAAGAGCUCAAAUUUGAAAUCUGGCAGUCUUCGAUUGUCCGAGUUGUAAUCUAUAGAGGCGUUUUCCGUGCCGGACCGUGUCCAAGUCUCCUGGAAAGGAGUAUCAAAGAGGGUGAUAAUCCCGUACUUAACACGACCACCGGUGCUCUGUGAUACGUCUUCUACGAGUCGAGUUGUUUGGGAAUGCAGCUCAAAAUGGGUGGUGAAUUCCAUCUAAAGCUAAAUAUUGGCGAGAGACCGAUAGCGAACAAGUACCGUGAGGGAAAGAUGAAAAGCACUUUGGAAAGAGAGUUAAACAGUACGUGAAAUUGUUGAAAGGGAAACGAUUGAAGUCAGUCGUGUUCUUUGGAUUCAGCCAGUUCUGCUGGUCUACUUCCUUGGAACGGGUCAACAUCAGUUUUGUCCGGUGGAUAAAGGUAGUAGGAAUGUGACUUCUCCGGAAGUGUUAUAGCCUAUUAUCACAUACACUGGGUGAGACUGAGGACUGCAGCUCGCCUUUAUGGCCGGCCUUCGGGCA
Molecule: ribosomal RNA, 533 nt
Filed under: Trichosporon asahii
Lineage: Eukaryota; Fungi; Basidiomycota; Tremellomycetes; Trichosporonales; Trichosporonaceae
Description: eukaryotic LSU rRNA
Rfam family: Eukaryotic large subunit ribosomal RNA
Source: RNAcentral